This 98-nucleotide transfer RNA is filed under the name Deltaproteobacteria bacterium. RNAcentral describes it as "tRNA-Sec". It matches the Rfam family "Selenocysteine transfer RNA". Lineage: Bacteria; Pseudomonadati; Myxococcota; Myxococcia. The record is from RNAcentral. RNAcentral also lists the same sequence under 3 other names.
GGCGGGUAGACCCAAUCGGUAUUGGGGGUGGCCUUCAAAGCCAUUCGGACCUCUGAUGACAGGGGUUCAGCGCGUUCGACUCGCGUUACCCGCCGCCA